GUUGCGACAAAUUAAUAACCUCUCUACCUCAUUCUUUAGAGGGAAGCAUUUUUUUAAUCGCUUCAUGUUGUUAAUUGAGGUUAUAAUUUCAUAACAUCUCUCCAAUCUCAGCUAUGCAUAUUUGCAUGUCCCAAUACCUCUCAUCCCAAACUAGUCAUCAGGCCAAUGAAGUACCGAAAGAAAUAGUAAACCACAACUGAAUGUGGUUUUGGUUAAUUAGCAUGGAGAUAAGACUGAGAAGUUCAGCAGCACUGAGCUACCAAAAAGAGG
RNAcentral lists this long non-coding RNA (270 nucleotides) under Oryza brachyantha (malo sina). Its description in RNAcentral is "long non-coding RNA (OBRA_LNC001894)". The record is from RNAcentral. Lineage: Eukaryota; Viridiplantae; Streptophyta; Magnoliopsida; Poales; Poaceae.